AUCCAUAACCCAUUGAAUGACCAAAAACACCCAUCCUACCUCUUGGAAAUGUGGGCUUCAUAUUCUUAACAUUACUUCUUGUGGUGGAUCUUCUGACAUGAUACAGAGAUUUUGGAUUUUCUUUUGGCAAGCAUGCUUGAGGGACCAACUAGGGACCAGAAGGAGGUAUGUGAGCUGGGCAGGCAUGCCCCAACCUACUGACCUGGGACUGAAAGGAGGUGUGUGAGCUGGGCAGCCCAGAAUCAUCGAAAUCAUCUGCUGCCUG
Molecule: long non-coding RNA, 265 nt
Filed under: Cricetulus griseus (Chinese hamster)
Lineage: Eukaryota; Metazoa; Chordata; Mammalia; Rodentia; Cricetidae
Description: lncRNA (ENSCGRG00015043067.1)
Source: RNAcentral